CCUACGGGAGGCAGCAGUGAGGAAUAUUGGUCAAUGGUCGGGAGACUGAACCAGCCAAGCCGCGUGAGGGAUGAAGGUACAGAGUAUCGUAAACCUCUUUUGUCAGGGAACAAAGGCGGGGACGUGUCCCCGGAUGAGUGUACCUGAAGAAAAAGCAUCGGCUAACUCCGUGCCAGCAGCCGCGGUAAUACGGAGGAUGCGAGCGUUAUCCGGAUUUAUUGGGUUUAAAGGGUGCGUAGGCGGUCUGUUAAGUCAGCGGUAAAAGCCCGGGGCGCAACCCCGGCCCGCCGUUGAAACUGGCAGUCUCGAGUUGGAGAGAAGUAUGCGGAAUGCGCGGUGUAGCGGUGAAAUGCAUAGAUAUCGCGCAGAACUCCGAUUGCGAAGGCAGCAUGCCGGCUCCACACUGACGCUGAGGCACGAAAGCGUGGGUAUCGAACAGGAUUAGAUACCCCUGUAGUC
This 459-nucleotide ribosomal RNA is filed under the name uncultured bacterium. Its description in RNAcentral is "partial 16S ribosomal RNA". It matches the Rfam family "Bacterial small subunit ribosomal RNA", at positions 338 to 795 of the family's 1533-position model. The record is from RNAcentral.